AUUAAUUCCAAGUAUAAGAGCUGUGUAAAUUGACAGAAAUCCACAGAAAAAAGUACUUUUCCAUUGAAGAUGUCUCUUGGCAGAAUGCCUUCUAGGAUUUGAUCUCCAAGCGCGCAAAUGACAAAACGUCCAAACCAAAGGAGAAAAAACCGCAAUUUUUCAAUGAAAAAAGAGGGAUCUCCGUUUGAAUCUGAUGGGAAAAGCCUUUAGUGAUUAAAAUAAAAAAGAAGGCAGAGAAAGAAAGGAAGAAAAGAGAGCAGUUUCCUCCGACUAAUUAUAAAUGUGGAUGCAUGUUAUUGUUGCGCAUGCCAUGGGAUGCUAGAAAGCUCUCUGAAUUGUGUUUGCCUAGUAGUAUCAAUCAAUCGCUGCAUGUGCCAAGGAGCUGGAGUUGCCUUGCUCUAACCCGUACCUGCAAUCUGACAAGAACCUGCAUGCAAUGCAGGGCUAUACGAGUUUGUUUCCUUACGUAAGCCCCCCGAACUAAUGCUUGCAUUUUCACCAGGCUUCUUAGUGCUCGAAAUGCUCGUCUUGCGAGAUGGCCCCUGAAAAUUGCUUGGACUUUCAUGGCAGCUAUGUCUUCUUGGGUGAGUUGUUUCCUUGAAAUCAGUGAAAUUUCACUAAUCAAUUCCUCAUAACUGGCUUUUUCAUCUGUUUUUGCCUCAUCAUGAGGACUGGAGCAAGAAUUGGAAUCAAGAACAAUAGUGUUUCUAUGAGAGGAUGAUCUGAGGAAUUUUCUUCGGAUCAUGUCGAACCAUUUUCGAGAUGUCCUCAUUCUUGCCAUUUCUCUAAGUUAUAUUUUCUGCUUUCUCUUUCCAGGGGAAAGUGGGUUGUGGCAGAUUUAAUGUUCUUCACUCGAUCUCCAUUUCCACCAGCAAAAUACCUCUG
RNAcentral lists this unclassified non-coding RNA (885 nucleotides) under Hevea brasiliensis (rubber tree). Lineage: Eukaryota; Viridiplantae; Streptophyta; Magnoliopsida; Malpighiales; Euphorbiaceae. The record is from RNAcentral.